GACGAACGCUGGCGGCGUGGAUUAGGCAUGCAAGUCGAACGGUAUCAUCCUUCGGGGGUGAGAGAGUGGCGAACUGGUGAGUAACACGUAGGUUAUCUACCCUCAAGACGGGGACAACCCGGGAAACUUGGGCUAAUACCGGAUGUGAGCAACUUUUAGUUGUUUGAAAGGUGGCGUAAGCUGUCGCUUGGGGAUGAGCCUGCGUCCUAUUAGUUAGUUGGUGAGGUAACGGCUCACCUAGGCAAUGAUAGGUAGGCGGCCUUAACGGGUGGUCGCCCACACUGGGAUUGAGAUACGGCCCAGACUCCUACGGGAGGCAGCAGUCGAGAAUAGUCUACAAUGGUCGGAAGACUGAUAGUGCGACGCCGCGUGAACGAUGAAUCCCUUCGGGGUGUAAAGUUCUUUUAUAUGUGAGCAGUGCUUCUUAUAUUAACAGUAUGGGGAGAGAGAUAUUAGCAUAUGAAUAAGCAACGGCUAACUCCGUG
RNAcentral lists this ribosomal RNA (485 nucleotides) under uncultured bacterium. RNAcentral describes it as "bacterial SSU rRNA". It matches the Rfam family "Bacterial small subunit ribosomal RNA", at positions 28 to 507 of the family's 1533-position model. The record is from RNAcentral.